UGGGGAAUAUUGCACAAUGGGCGCAAGCCUGAUGCAGCCAUGCCGCGUGUAUGAAGAAGGCCUUCGGGUUGUAAAGUACUUUCAGCGGGGAGGAAGGGAGUAAAGUUAAUACCUUUGCUCAUUGACGUUACCCGCAGAAGAAGCACCGGCUAACUCCGUGCCAGCAGCCGCGGUAAUACGGAGGGUGCAAGCGUUAAUCGGAAUUACUGGGCGUAAAGCGCACGCAGGCGGUUUGUUAAGUCAGAUGUGAAAUCCCCGGGCUCAACCUGGGAACUGCAUCUGAUACUGGCAAGCUUGAGUCUCGUAGAGGGGGGUAGAAUUCCAGGUGUAGCGGUGAAAUGCGUAGAGAUCUGGAGGAAUACCGGUGGCGAAGGCGGCCCCCUGGACGAAGACUGAAGCUCAGGUGCGAAAGCGUGGGGAGCAAACAGG
Molecule: ribosomal RNA, 429 nt
Filed under: Chloroflexota bacterium
Lineage: Bacteria; Bacillati; Chloroflexota
Description: Chloroflexi bacterium partial 16S ribosomal RNA
Rfam family: Bacterial small subunit ribosomal RNA
Source: RNAcentral